This 946-nucleotide ribosomal RNA is filed under the name Mesonia sp. RNAcentral's name for it is "bacterial SSU rRNA". It matches the Rfam family "Bacterial small subunit ribosomal RNA", at positions 338 to 1286 of the family's 1533-position model. Lineage: Bacteria; Pseudomonadati; Bacteroidota; Flavobacteriia; Flavobacteriales; Flavobacteriaceae. The record is from RNAcentral.
CCUACGGGAGGCAGCAGUGAGGAAUAUUGGACAAUGGAGGCAACUCUGAUCCAGCCAUGCCGCGUGCAGGAAGACUGCCCUAUGGGUUGUAAACUGCUUUUAUAGAGGAAGAAACCUCCCUUCGUGAAGGGAAUUGACGGUACUCUACGAAUAAGGAUCGGCCAACUCCGUGCCAGCAGCCGCGGUAAUACGGAGGAUCCAAGCGUUAUCCGGAAUCAUUGGGUUUAAAGGGUCCGUAGGCGGACUAAUAAGUCAGUGGUGAAAGUCUGCAGCUCAACUGUAGAAUUGCCAUUGAUACUGUUAGUCUUGAGUCAUUAUGAAGUGGUUAGAAUGAGUGGUGUAGCGGUGAAAUGCAUAGAUAUCACUCAGAAUACCGAUUGCGAAGGCAGAUCACUAAUAAUGUACUGACGCUGAUGGACGAAAGCGUAGGUAGCGAACAGGAUUAGAUACCCUGGUAGUCUACGCCGUAAACGAUGGUUACUAGCUGUUUGGUCGAUUGAGACUGAGUGGCUAAGCGAAAGUGAUAAGUAACCCACCUGGGGAGUACGUUCGCAAGAAUGAAACUCAAAGGAAUUGACGGGGGCCCGCACAAGCGGUGGAGCAUGUGGUUUAAUUCGAUGAUACGCGAGGAACCUUACCAGGGCUUAAAUGUAGUCUGACAGAUUUGGAAACAGAUUUUUCUUCGGACAGAUUACAAGGUGCUGCAUGGUUGUCGUCAGCUCGUGCCGUGAGGUGUCAGGUUAAGUCCUAUAACGAGCGCAACCCCUGUGGUUAGUUGCCAGCGAGUCAAGUCGGGAACUCUAGCCAGACUGCCGGUGCAAACCGUGAGGAAGGUGGGGAUGACGUCAAAUCAUCACGGCCCUUACGUCCUGGGCCACACACGUGCUACAAUGGUAGGGACAGAGAGCAGCCACUGGGCGACCAGGAGCGAAUCUUCAAACCCUAU